This is a long non-coding RNA of Poeciliopsis prolifica (blackstripe livebearer), 383 nucleotides long. RefSeq lists it as uncharacterized. The transcript has 3 exons. Lineage: Eukaryota; Metazoa; Chordata; Actinopteri; Cyprinodontiformes; Poeciliidae. The record is from RefSeq and is a predicted model, not a curated record.
GAGAAAGUGUAAGAAUGUCACCCCUGCUAUAUUUAUGAUUAGAAAUUAUUGAAAUGUUUUAUCUUUACUGGAAGCUGGCCAGAGUGAGAAGACAAGUUGCCCCACUAAUUACAUUCAGUCUCACUGAACGAUGCUCCAGGUCGACUUUUGCGAACCACCACUACCAAAAGCUCCAUCUUUCUCAAACUGGAGCACAAGAAAAAGCCUCUUUUCAGAGAGUUGGAGGGCAGAAAGACCUUGUCUGGUGAACAUGGCAUCUUAACAGUGUUUCAACACUCAUAUGCCAACAGAAUGGAAGAACUCUAACUGCGCUCUGCUGUGCUGAUUGCCUACCACGUGAUGAGGCACAUGUUCUUCAUAAAAGAGACACCAUGACAGCCAGA